This is a long non-coding RNA of Gordionus sp. m RMFG-2023, 217 nucleotides long. RefSeq lists it as uncharacterized. The record is from RefSeq and is a predicted model, not a curated record. Lineage: Eukaryota; Metazoa; Nematomorpha; Gordioida; Chordodea; Parachordodidae. The transcript is spliced from 3 exons.
AAAAAACUCAGUGUUAGGUCCGUAUUGUGAUGGAACAAGAAUCCGAUUAGGGAAAUGCCAGACUGAUAAGAGUCAAGAGGAACUGGAACGAUGGUACGCGGAUGUGAAUGCAGAAAUAUGCCGGAAGGAGUUGGAAUAAUAAUUACUCCAAUAUAACAUUCGUAAGUCAGCCACAUAGACCAUGUUACUUAAAUUGCAAAACUACAACAGGUGGGAG